GCCCCCGCGGCCUAGUGGCUAGCGCGCCUGUUUCGUAAAUAUUGGACGCGGGUUCGACCCCCACCGGUGUCA
This is a non-coding RNA of Caenorhabditis brenneri, 72 nucleotides long. The record is from the annotation of a GenBank genome assembly. NCBI's taxonomy places the organism in Eukaryota, Metazoa, Nematoda, Chromadorea, Rhabditida, Rhabditidae.